RNAcentral lists this ribosomal RNA (337 nucleotides) under uncultured Pseudomonadota bacterium. RNAcentral's name for it is "bacterial SSU rRNA". It matches the Rfam family "Bacterial small subunit ribosomal RNA", at positions 29 to 351 of the family's 1533-position model. The record is from RNAcentral. Lineage: Bacteria; Pseudomonadati; Pseudomonadota.
AACGAACGCUGGCGGCGUGCUUAACACAUGCAAGUCGAACGCGAAAGGGACUUCGGUCCUGAGUAAAGUGGCGCACGGGUGAGUAACGCGUGGAUAAUCUACCCAAUGAUCUGGGAUAACAUCUCGAAAGGGGUGCUAAUACCGGAUAAGACCACGAGAUCUUAGGAUUUUGCGGUAAAAGGUGGGGACCUUCGGGCCUACCGCAAUUGGAUGAGUCCGCGUACCAUUAGCUAGUUGGUAGGGUAAAGGCCUACCAAGGCAACGAUGGUUAGCUGGUCUGAGAGGAUGAUCAGCCACACUGGAACUGAGACACGGUCCAGACUCCUACGGGAGGCAG